This 348-nucleotide long non-coding RNA is filed under the name Salvia miltiorrhiza (redroot sage). Its description in RNAcentral is "long non-coding RNA (SMIL_LNC001497)". Lineage: Eukaryota; Viridiplantae; Streptophyta; Magnoliopsida; Lamiales; Lamiaceae. The record is from RNAcentral.
GCUAUGCCCACUGAGUAUUUUUAUACUCAGCCCUGCAUGUAUUUCUAAAUGUGCAGGUUGAGCAGCUGAUGGAAUGGAAUGAUGUUGAGCGGGUGUUCCUUUGACAUUUCAAGAAAUGUAACCUUGAGUAUACAUCUUCAUAUGUAUAUCUCACACGUUUUCCGCUGCAAAACACUUUGAUUAGGAUAACUUUAUGUUAUGAAAUUGUGACACGUGUUAUUGGGUAACCCACCUUAAUCAGUUCUCAUUUAUGUGUAUGUUUUAUAAGUAUCCAAAUAAUCAUAUAUGAUCCUAGCAUUUUAUCUAUGAGUGAUAUUUCCAUAUACUUUAAUGUUAAGUAAUUGUCCA